CAGUAGCCGCGGUAAUACGAAGGGUGCAAGCGUUAAUCGGAAUUACUGGGCGUAAAGCGUGCGUAGGCGGUGAGUUAAGUCUGCUGUGAAAUCCCCGGGCUCAACCUGGGAAUGGCAAUGGAUACUGGCGAGCUAGAGUGUGUCGGAGGAUGGUGGAAUUCCCGGUGUAGCGGUGAAAUGCGUAGAGAUCGGGAGGAACAUCAGUGGCGAAGGCGGCCAUCUGGGACAACACUGACGCUGAGGCACGAAAGCGUGGGGAGCAAACAGGAUUAGAUACCUCGGUAGUCCCUGUCUCUUAUAC
This 301-nucleotide ribosomal RNA is filed under the name uncultured bacterium. RNAcentral describes it as "partial 16S ribosomal RNA". It matches the Rfam family "Bacterial small subunit ribosomal RNA", at positions 509 to 807 of the family's 1533-position model. The record is from RNAcentral.